GACGAACGCUGGCGGCGUGCUUAACACAUGCAAGUCGUACGGUAAGGCCCUUUCGGGGGUACACGAGUGGCGAACGGGUGAGUAACACGUGAGUAACCUGCCCACAACUUUGGGAUAACGCUAGGAAACUGGUGCUAAUACUGGAUAUGUGCUCCUGCUGCAUGGUGGGGGUUGGAAAGCUCCGGCGGUUGUGGAUGGACUCGCGGCCUAUCAGCUUGUUGGUGGGGUAGUGGCCUACCAAGGCGGCGACGGGUAGCCGGCCUGAGAGGGUGACCGGCCACAUUGGGACUGAGAUACGGCCCAGACUCCUACGGGAGACAGCAGUGGGGAAUAUUGCACAAUGGGCGCAAGCCUGAUGCAGCAACGCCGCGUGCGGGAUGACGGCCUUCGGGUUGUAAACCGCGUUCAGCAGGGACGAAGCUUUUUGUGACGGUACCUGCAGAAGAAGCACCGGCUAACUACGUG
This 465-nucleotide ribosomal RNA is filed under the name uncultured bacterium. RNAcentral's name for it is "partial 16S ribosomal RNA". It matches the Rfam family "Bacterial small subunit ribosomal RNA", at positions 28 to 507 of the family's 1533-position model. The record is from RNAcentral.